AGAGAACUCGAAGGAUCCCCGA
This 22-nucleotide microRNA is filed under the name Monodelphis domestica (gray short-tailed opossum). RNAcentral describes it as "mdo-miR-12349-3p". The record is from miRBase by way of RNAcentral. Lineage: Eukaryota; Metazoa; Chordata; Mammalia; Didelphimorphia; Didelphidae.